UAAGGAGAUUUGAAGCAUAAACUAAAGAAUUUUUAAAAACAUGUAAUGGCGAUUGGAGGCGGGAUUGUGAAUGAGAUUCAAAGUGAUUUGAGUAUAAAAAAUACACAAAACACAGAGAAAGCACAAAGAAACCCGUACUAUGAAGCCAUUUUGGUAUUAGGGAAAGAAGAGCAAGGGCACCCCGUAGAAAACCUACAGGUAUUUCAGAGCUAUUUAUCAAAAUCUCUCCCCUGUUUUUUGCCUCUUUCCCGAUUCAAUUU
RNAcentral lists this small RNA (260 nucleotides) under Arabidopsis thaliana (thale cress). Its description in RNAcentral is "ATSL010120". Lineage: Eukaryota; Viridiplantae; Streptophyta; Magnoliopsida; Brassicales; Brassicaceae. The record is from RNAcentral.